RNAcentral lists this ribosomal RNA (253 nucleotides) under uncultured bacterium. Its description in RNAcentral is "partial 16S ribosomal RNA". It matches the Rfam family "Bacterial small subunit ribosomal RNA", at positions 524 to 776 of the family's 1533-position model. The record is from RNAcentral.
UACGUAGGGUGCAAGCGUUAAUCGGAAUUACCGGGCGUAAAGCGUGCGCAGGCGGUUCUAUAAGACAGAUGUGAAAUCCCCGGGCUCAACCUGGGAACUGCAUUUGUGACUGUAGAGCUGGAGUGCGGCAGAGGGGGAUGGAAUUCCGCGUGUAGCAGUGAAAUGCGUAGAUAUGCGGAGGAACACCGAUGGCGAAGGCAAUCCCCUGGGCCUGCACUGACGCUCAUGCACGAAAGCGUGGGGAGCAAACAGG